RNAcentral lists this ribosomal RNA (253 nucleotides) under uncultured bacterium. Its description in RNAcentral is "partial 16S ribosomal RNA". It matches the Rfam family "Bacterial small subunit ribosomal RNA", at positions 524 to 776 of the family's 1533-position model. The record is from RNAcentral.
UACGAAGGGUGCAAGCGUUACUCGGAAUUACUGGGCGUAAAGCGUGCGUAGGCGGUUUGUUAAGUCCGCUGUGAAAGCCCUGGGCUCAACCUGGGAAUUGCAGUGGAUACUGGCAAGCUAGAGUGCGGUAGAGGAUGGUGGAAUUCCCGGUGUAGCGGUGAAAUGCGUAGAGAUGUGGAGGAACACCGAUGGCGAAGGCAGCCUUCUGGGCCAACACUGACGCUCAUGCACGAAAGCGUGGGGAGCAAACAGG